This 467-nucleotide ribosomal RNA is filed under the name uncultured bacterium. Its description in RNAcentral is "bacterial SSU rRNA". It matches the Rfam family "Bacterial small subunit ribosomal RNA", at positions 917 to 1382 of the family's 1533-position model. The record is from RNAcentral.
GGGCCCGCACAAGCGGUGGAGCAUGUGGUUUAAUUCGACGCAACGCGAAGAACCUUACCAGCCUUUGACAUGGACAUUAGGAUCGAUAGAGAUAUUGGUUUUCAUUUAGUUGGGUGUCACACAGGUGCUGCAUGGCUGUCGUCAGCUCGUGUCGUGAGAUGUUGGGUUAAGUCCCGCAACGAGCGCAACCCUCGCCUUUAGUUGCCAUCAUUUAGUUGGGCACUCUAAAGGAACUGCCUAUGAUAAGUAGGAGGAAGGUGGGGAUGACGUCAAGUCCUCAUGGCCCUUACAGGCUGGGCUACACACGUGCUACAAUGGUUAUUACAGAGGGAAGCAAGCCUGAGAAGGCAAGCAAAUCCCGUAAAAAUAAUCUCAGUUCGGAUUGAGCUCUGCAACUCGAGCUCAUGAAGUUGGAAUCGCUAGUAAUCGUGGAUCAGCAUGCCACGGUGAAUACGUUCCCGGGCCUU